RNAcentral lists this ribosomal RNA (440 nucleotides) under uncultured bacterium. RNAcentral describes it as "partial 16S ribosomal RNA". It matches the Rfam family "Bacterial small subunit ribosomal RNA", at positions 338 to 795 of the family's 1533-position model. The record is from RNAcentral.
CCUACGGGAGGCAGCAGUGGGGAAUAUUGCACAAUGGGGGAAACCCUGAUGCAGCGACGCCGCGUGAGUGAAGAAGUACUUCGUUAUGUAAAGCUCUAUCAGCAGGGAAGAAAAUGACGGUACCUGAGUCAGAAGCCCCGGCUAACUACGUGCCAGCAGCCGCGGUAAUACGUAGGGGGCAAGCGUUAUCCGGAUUUACUGGGUGUAAAGGGAGCGUAGACGGCAGUGCAAGUCUGGAGUGAAAGGCGGGGGCUCAACCCCCGGACUGCUCUGGAAACUGUACGGCUGGAGUGCAGGAGAGGUAAGUGGAAUUCCUAGUGUAGCGGUGAAAUGCGUAGAUAUUAGGAGGAACACCAGUGGCGAAGGCGGCUUACUGGACUGUAACUGACGUUGAGGCUCGAAAGCGUGGGGAGCAAACAGGAUUAGAUACCCGAGUAGUC